CUCUUCACAUAGGUGUUUCAUCUCGCAGCAUCACAGGACCAAGGAGAUGAAGGUGAUAGAGGUACUUACUAUCUUUCCUGAUUACAUUUAAAAGAGAUUGCUUCCAGCAAGAGAAUGAAGAAGAUUUCAUCUCAAAGGGGCAGAGAAAGAAUUUACAAUUCAAGUUUUCCAAA
Molecule: long non-coding RNA, 173 nt
Organism: Pipistrellus kuhlii (Kuhl's pipistrelle)
Lineage: Eukaryota; Metazoa; Chordata; Mammalia; Chiroptera; Vespertilionidae
Exons: 2
Source: RefSeq, a predicted model, not a curated record